Molecule: ribosomal RNA, 459 nt
Filed under: uncultured bacterium
Lineage: Bacteria
Description: partial 16S ribosomal RNA
Rfam family: Bacterial small subunit ribosomal RNA
Source: RNAcentral
CCUACGGGAGGCAGCAGUGAGGAAUAUUGGUCAAUGGUCGGGAGACUGAACCAGCCAAGCAGCGUGAGGGAGGAAGGUACAGAGUAUCGUAAACCUCUUUUGUCAGGGAACAAAGACUGGGACGCGUCCCCGGAUGAGUGUACCUGAAGAACAAGCAUCGGCUAACUCCGUGCCAGCAGCCGCGGUAAUACGGAGGAUGCGAGCGUUCUCCGGAUUUAUGGGGUUUACGGGGUGCGCAGGCGGUCUGUUAAGUCAGCGGUCAAACCCCGGGGCCCAACCCCGGCCCGCCGUUGAAACUGGCAGUCUCGAGUGGGAGAGAAGUAUGCGGAAUGCGCGGUGUAGCGGUGAAAUGCAUAGAUAUCGCGCAGAACUCCGAUUGCGAAGGCAGCAUGCCGGCUCCACACUGACGCUGAGGCACGAAAGCGUGGGUAUCGAACAGGAUUAGAUACCCUGGUAGUC